Molecule: non-coding RNA, 208 nt
Organism: Pelobates cultripes (western spadefoot toad)
Lineage: Eukaryota; Metazoa; Chordata; Amphibia; Anura; Pelobatidae
Source: the annotation of a GenBank genome assembly
GGACUUUAUUAUGUUUUCAACAUAGACAACUAUGUAAUUCUCUGACAAGGAAGCCAUGUGACUUAUUGAUACCAUCUGAUACUUAUGCUCAAUCUGGACACCCAUAUCUAAUGUGAAUAGAAUAUGCAAUAUUCUACAUUGCAUGGUCUAUUACGAACUAGCACUUUCUGGCCUACCUGGAAAGUACAGUUCUGGGUUUGCUGAUCUU